RNAcentral lists this ribosomal RNA (500 nucleotides) under uncultured bacterium. RNAcentral describes it as "partial 16S ribosomal RNA". It matches the Rfam family "Bacterial small subunit ribosomal RNA", at positions 30 to 523 of the family's 1533-position model. The record is from RNAcentral.
AUUGAACGCUGGCGGAAUGCUUUACACAUGCAAGUCGAACGGCAGCACGGACUUCGGUCUGGUGGCGAGUGGCGAACGGGUGAGUAAUGUAUCGGAACGUGCCCAGUCGUGGGGGAUAACGUAGUGAAAAUUACGCUAAUACCGCAUACGAUCUAUGGAUGAAAGCGGGGGAUCGCAAGACCUCGCGCGAUUGGAGCGGCCGAUAUCAGAUUAGGUAGUUGGUGGGGUAAAGGCCCACCAAGCCAACGAUCUGUAGCUGGUCUGAGAGGACGACCAGCCACACUGGAACUGAGACACGGUCCAGACUCCUACGGGAGGCAGCAGUGGGGAAUUUUGGACAAUGGGCGAAAGCCUGAUCCAGCCAUUCCGCGUGUAGGAUGAAGGACCUCGGGUUGUAAACUGCUUUUGUACAGAACGAAAAGGUUUCUACUAAUACUAGGAGCUCAUGACGGUACUGUAAGAAUAAGCACCGGCUAACUACGUGCCAGCCGCCGCGGUAA